CACCGCGGUUAAACGAUAGGCCCCAGUUGAUAAUAUCACGGCGUAAAGGGUGGUUAAGGAAUAUAGAAUAAUAAAGCCAAAUGGCCCCCUGGCCGUCAUACGCUUCUAGGUGUCCGAAGCCCAAUCCCACGAAAGUAGCUUUAAUAUAACCGACCUGACCCCACGAAAGCUGAGGAA
This 177-nucleotide ribosomal RNA is filed under the name Saurogobio dabryi (Chinese lizard gudgeon). RNAcentral's name for it is "partial 12S rRNA". Lineage: Eukaryota; Metazoa; Chordata; Actinopteri; Cypriniformes; Gobionidae. The record is from RNAcentral.